UUAAGCGACUAAGCGUACACGGUGGAUGCCCUGGCAGUCAGAGGCGAUGAAGGACGUGCUAAUCUGCGAAAAGCGUCGGUAAGGUGAUAUGAACCGUUAUAACCGGCGAUGUCCGAAUGGGGAAACCCAGUGCAAUUCGUUGCACUAUCGUUAACUGAAUACAUAGGUUAACGAGGCGAACCGGGGGAACUGAAACAUCUAAGUACCCCGAGGAAAAGAAAUCAACCGAGAUUCCCCCAGUAGCGGCGAGCGAACGGGGAGCAGCCCAGAGUCUGAAUCAGCUUGUGUGUUAGUGGAACGGUCUGGAAAGUCCGACGGUACAGGGUGAUAGUCCCGUACACCAAAAUGCACAGGCUGUGAACUCGAAGAGUAGGGCGGGACACGUGGUAUCCUGUCUGAAUAUGGGGGGACCAUCCUCCAAGGCUAAAUACUCCUGACUGACCGAUAGUGAACCAGUACCGUGAGGGAAAGGCGAAAAGAACCCCGGCGAGGGGAGUGAAAAAGAACCUGAAACCGUGUACGUACAAGCAGUGGGAGCACCUUCGGGUGUGACUGCGUACCUUUUGUAUAAUGGGUCAGCGACUUAUAUUCUGUAGCAAGGUUAACCGUAUAGGGGAGCCGCAGGGAAACCGAGUCUUAACUGGGCGUUAAGUUGCAGGGUAUAGACCCGAAACCCGGUGAUCUAGCCAUGGGCAGGUUGAAGGUUGGGUAACACUAACUGGAGGACCGAACCGACUAAUGUUGAAAAAUUAGCGGAUGACUUGUGGCUGGGGGUGAAAGGCCAAUCAAACCGGGAGAUAGCUGGUUCUCCCCGAAAGCUAUUUAGGUAGCGCCUCGUGAACUCAUCUUCGGGGGUAGAGCACUGUUUCGGCUAGGGGGUCAUCCCGACUUACCAACCCGAUGCAAACUACGAAUACCGAAGAAUGUUAUCACGGGAGACACACGGCGGGUGCUAACGUCCGUCGUGAAGAGGGAAACAACCCAGACCGCCAGCUAAGGUCCCAAAGUCAUGGUUAAGUGGGAAACGAUGUGGGAAGGCACAGACAGCCAGGAUGUUGGCUUAGAAGCAGCCAUCAUUUAAAGAAAGCGUAAUAGCUCACUGGUCGAGUCGGCCUGCGCGGAAGAUGUAACGGGGCUAAACCAUGCACCGAAGCUGCGGCAGCGACACUAUGUGUUGUUGGGUAGGGGAGCGUUCUGUAAGCCUGCGAAGGUGGCCUGUGAGGGUUGCUGGAGGUAUCAGAAGUGCGAAUGCUGACAUAAGUAACGAUAAAGCGGGUGAAAAGCCCGCUCGCCGGAAGACCAAGGGUUCCUGUCCAACGUUAAUCGGGGCAGGGUGAGUCGACCCCUAAGGCGAGGCCGAAAGGCGUAGUCGAUGGGAAACAGGUUAAUAUUCCUGUACUUGGUGUUACUGCGAAGGGGGGACGGAGAAGGCUAUGUUAGCCGGGCGACGGUUGUCCCGGUUUAAGCAUGUAGGCGGAGGUUCCAGGUAAAUCCGGUACCUUUUAACGCUGAGGUGUGAUGACGAGGCACUACGGUGCUGAAGUAACAAAUGCCCUGCUUCCAGGAAAAGCCUCUAAGCAUCAGGUAACAUUAAAUCGUACCCCAAACCGACACAGGUGGUCAGGUAGAGAAUACCAAGGCGCUUGAGAGAACUCGGGUGAAGGAACUAGGCAAAAUGGUGCCGUAACUUCGGGAGAAGGCACGCUGGUGUGUAGGUGAAGUCCCUGCGGAUGGAGCUGAGACCAGUCGAAGAUACCAGCUGGCUGCAACUGUUUAUUAAAAACACAGCACUGUGCAAACACGAAAGUGGACGUAUACGGUGUGACGCCUGCCCGGUGCCGGAAGGUUAAUUGAUGGGGUUAUCCGUAAGGAGAAGCUCUUGAUCGAAGCCCCGGUAAACGGCGGCCGUAACUAUAACGGUCCUAAGGUAGCGAAAUUCCUUGUCGGGU
Molecule: ribosomal RNA, 1949 nt
Filed under: human gut metagenome
Description: bacterial LSU rRNA
Rfam family: Bacterial large subunit ribosomal RNA
Source: RNAcentral